AGCGAACGCUGGCGGCAGGCUUAACACAUGCAAGUCGAGCGGGCAUCCUUGUGGUGUCAGCGGCAGACGGGUGAGUAACGCGUGGGAACGUGCCCUUCGGUUCGGAAUAACUCAGGGAAACUUGAGCUAAUACCGGAUACGUGCGAGAGCAGAAAGGUUUAUCUGCCGAAGGAUCGGCCCGCGUCUGAUUAGCUAGUUGGUGAGGUUAUGGCUCACCAAGGCGACGAUCAGUAGCUGGUCUGAGAGGAUGAUCAGCCACACUGGGAGUGAGACACGGCCCAGACUCCGACGGAAGGCAGCAGGGGGGAAUAUUGGACAAUGGGGGCAACCCUGAUCCAGCCAGGCCGCGUGAGUGAUGACGGCCUUAGGGUUGUAAAGCUCUUUUCUCCGGGACGAUAAUGACGGUACCGGAGGAAUAAGCCCCGGCUAACUUCGU
This 436-nucleotide ribosomal RNA is filed under the name uncultured bacterium. RNAcentral describes it as "partial 16S ribosomal RNA". It matches the Rfam family "Bacterial small subunit ribosomal RNA", at positions 29 to 506 of the family's 1533-position model. The record is from RNAcentral.